GUGCAGAAAGCAGGGUGUGUUCUGGGUGUCUGGGUGUCUGGGUGUCUGGGUGUCUGGGUGUCUGGGUGUCUGGGUGUCUGGGUGUCUGGGUGUCUGGGUGUCUGGGUGUCUGGGUGUCUGGGUGUCUGGGUGUCUGGGUGUCUGGGUGUCUGGGUGUCUGGGUGUCUGGGUGUCUGGGUGUCUGUGCAGAAAGCAGGGUGGGUUCUGGGUGUCUGUGCAGAAAGCAGGGUGGGUUCUGGGUGUCUGUGCUGAAAGCAGGGUGUGUUCUGGGUGUCUGGGUGUAGAUGUGUCUGUGCAGAGAGCAGGGUGCAUUCUGGGCGUCUGGAACAUCGAGGCAUGAUUUGGCACCAACUCCAGGCAGCAAGGACAGAAGGCAGACACUUCUGUGAGGUAUAUUUGGACCUUAUUAAUGGCUUUGGAUCGGUGCCACAGUCUGUUGUAGAAGGUAUUCCCUUACUUUCAGGUCCCUGAGAAGAUUCAAAGAGUCAAAGCAUAUUUUGUGGAUAUUCAGUUGUGCUUCAACACAAGUUCCUACACCACAUCCUGGCAGCAUUUGGAGAUUGGCAUCACUGGCAUCAUUGGCUGGAUGCACCAUUUCACCAUUGGCGUUCACCAUGGCCAUGGAGGUAAUUAUGGGUAUUAAGGGUAAAUGGGUUCAUUCCCAUCGGAGCUUAUAUGGACAACAUAAAAACACUUAGAAAAACUGCACCAUGUACCAUGCCAAGUUGAAUGACAAUCUAAAAUGGGCAAGGAUGAUCGUGAAACCUAGUAAAUGUUUAAGUCUAUCUAUCAGAGAGGGAAAACUGGUUGUAAAUUCCUUCUAAUGUAGAGAAACCACUGAAGUGUUGGGGGAUGUGGUAAAAUUCCUCUUUGAGUGACCGAGGACAGGUUGCAAAGCUUAGAGAAUAAAUUGCUAAGGUUACCAAUACUAUUGAUAAGACCUUCUUGCCUGGUAAAUUGAAACAGUGGUCUUACAGUUUGAGCUUUUGCCACUUCUAAUGUGGCCUUUGACGGUGUAUGAGGUUGCUAUGAAUCACGAAUGGCAGUUAGGAAAUGGCUUGGGGUGCCAUGUUGUCUAAGUACUGUAGCACUAUAUGGAAAAGGAAUUUUGGAGUUAUCAUUGACCAUCUUGAUGGACCAAAGACCAGCCUGGAGAUUACUUUGUCAGUCUAAUGAUCCAGCAGUCAAGAACACUGCUCCAGCAGUCAAGAACACUGCAGUCAAGAACACUGCUCCAAAGCAGUCAAGAACACUGCUCCAAAGCAGUCAAGAACACUGCUCCAGCACAGUCAAGAACACUGCUCCAAAACAGUCAAGAACACUGCUCCAAAGCAGUCAAGAACACUGCUCCAGCAGUCAAGAACACUGCAGUUAAGAACACUGCUCCAAAACAGUCAAGAACACUGCUCCAGCAGUCAAGAACACUGCUCCAAAACAGUCAAGAACACUGCAGUCAAGAACACUGCAGUCAAGAACACUGCUCCAAAGCAGUCAAGAACACUGCUCCAAAACAGUCAAGAACACUGCUCCAAAGCAGUCAAGAACACUGCUCCAGCAGUCAAGAACACUGCAGUCAAGAACACUGCUCCAGCAGUCAAGAACACUGCAGUCAAGAACACUGCUCCAGCAGUCAAGAACACUGCAGUCAAGAACACUGCUCCAGCAGUCGAGAACACUGCUCCAGCAGUCGAGAACACUGCUCCAAAGGUUAAAACAGGGCAGAAGUGGAAUCCAUGAGAAGCGGUUCAACAUGCAGAAGGCGAUUACAGCACAGGGAUAUCAUUGGGCAGAUACAGAGUGGAAGAGAAGGGAUUGGGUCAGGUGACCGUUGCAAAGCUUGAGAUAAGGCUACAUUGCCAGAGAGAAGGCAAAUGCUAAAUGCUAAUGCAAAUGCUAAUCAGUUUUGUUUGGGAGAAAGAAGAGGAAACUAGACGAGCAGCGGUUUCUCAGGCAAAGCAAAGGGCAAUGGAUGAACUGGCAUAAUGUUGAGAAGAAGACGAUCAGCUGGAGAGAAUUGUGGGCUAUUAAAUGAAUUGUUGGAGCCUCUUAUGAUGUCCUCCCAACUCAGCAGAACCUCGGUCAGUGGGUGGGUGAGGACGGAAGCUGUAAGUUGUGUAUGGGUAGUGGCCCACUGAAACAUAUUCUUUCUGACUGUAAAGCUAUCUUGACCCAGGGUUGCUACACGUGGAGAUCUGAUCAGGUUUUGAGAUCAUUGGUGUGUUUGUUUGAUAAUAAACAAGUUGAAGUGAACUCUUUGCUGGUUAAUGGGACAGGGACGGUAGAAUUUAUUUUGUGUGAGAGCGGCAGAAAAGUGGACACCAGGCACGUAUAAACUGUACUGGCAAAUGGCUGGCUGAUGUCGGAAGGCAACUUCAAAUUGUUAUGACUGCUUUGAGACCAGACAUGGUGUUGUAUUCUGAAUGUGAGCGCAUGGUUUACUUGAUUGAGUUAACGAUUCCCUUUGAAGAUGUGAUUGAGGAAGCCUUUGAAAGGAAGAAACAAAAGGAUGCGGAACUGAUAGCGGAAGCAAGGGGAAAAGGUUGGCAAGCACACACACACGCACAAGACCAGUGGAGAUAGGUGUUAGAGGCUUUGUAGUCAAAUCAACCACAAUGAGGACGGUCACUCAAAGGAGCUUUAAAGGAGUUUUCAGAGGCUGCUGAAAAAGAGAGCCAGUGGUUAUGGCUAAGGAACUCACAGAUUACUUGAGAACAUGUGAAUUAACCUGUAAAACAUGAAGAAGCCUGUUGUCACAAGAUGUUUGGGUGCCUAGAGUAACCAGGGUUUGUAUCCCAUGUUAUUCCCUUACCCCUAAUCUGGAUUUGUAAUCCCGGGGGCUCUCCACCCCGACCCCCGACCCCUUCACCUACCCUAGCUUGGGUUCGUUUACAACUCCUACCCUUACUCUAACCCAGGUUCAUAUUCCAAAGAGAGCUUCCAUAGUAGUGUUGUGUGAUACAUGCAGGUAAGGCACACACUACUUCAGCAGUUGACAGUGGUUUGGUAGAUCAGGUAGAUGUAACUGUAAAUAAUAACAUGCAAAUCCUUGGGAUCACAGAGCAGUGGACUAGGUGUACAAUACCAUGUUAUGAUAUUACUACACCCACACACACACCCACACACACUCAGACACACACACUCAGACACAGGGACAAGUGUAGGGGAAUUUCUACAAGGUGUGGGUGGGGACAGUUUCUGGGUUAUCGAAAAGUGAAAAUUCGAAACCACUGCAGCAACUUUGUGAAGGAGGAGUUCAAAGUUGUGGCGUUUACUGCAAAACAAAAGCACAAGUGUGAAUGCCGCUCUCGUCAAGACAUGGGCGGGAUUCGAAAAGAAAAGCCCAGUCAGAUUUCGCCUUCGGUUUUGGACGGACAAUCCCCCCAACCACCAAAACUCCCCUAAGGUCGAACGCUCAAUGGUGAACGCUGCUCUUGUUCAGACACGGGUGAGAAACAUCCCAUAAUUCCACCCACCCCCAACACCAUACCCAGAUAAGUAGCACUGUCAUGAAGUGCCAAAGCCACAUCUGCCAGUGGUCUAAUAGAGAGGCUGAUUAAUACGAGGGCACUGCCAACAGGAGGCACCCUUCCGUGUAAUGUAAUCACCCCCGUCACAAUCAUCGAGUGCCCGCCACUGCAUGAAAGUGGUUAGGGGAAUUUGACACCCCGACCAAAUGACUGACUGACUGACUGACUGACAGGUGGAGGGGGCUAUCGUUACUGUACUGUGCAGAGACAAUAGGUCACACUGAAGCUAGCUCAGGCAUGCUAGGUCACACUGAAGCUAGCUCAGGCAUGCUAGGUAAAUAUGAAUGUGGGAAGGUGUAGUGUUCUGAUUUAUAGGGAAUUUAGUAAGGCAUUCAGGAGAUUUCUUGACCAAUCACAGGUCACUUUCGUUCCUCAAUUCCCCAACCAGUCAUGGAUCAUGUUAUUGGUGUGUGCAGGCUCAAGCGGUUUUCAGGAAAUUACUACUGAUGUUUCACUUCAUCCACUGAGAAUGCACAGGUCUCUAAUUCAUCUGGAGGUUUUUUUUUAUGUAGGCUAUAGGUUUGAAAUGUAUAAUGCAAAGAUUUUUUAGAGAAUGAAACACAUAAAUAUAUUCUCAGCACUGAUUGAUUUUCCUUGUAGUAGAACUAUUGAAAUGUAAAAUACAGUACAAUCUUUUUCUUGUUUCUUUAUCUCCCUCUUCCUCUUUGUCUGUCUCCAUAUCUCUCUCUCUCUCCAUAUCUCUCUCUCUCUCUCUCUUUCUGCCAGAGGCUGUGUUCUGGCAAAGUAUCAGGUCCCCGUUGCCUUGACAAUGUAAUCAGCCACAAUUCAAACCAUAGCCAGAAACGUUUCCUGGAGACCAUUGCCAUGCUAGUAUUUGCAGUUGCCGAGGAUUACAUCAUCAGUCUGCAUCAUUUGUAAUCGAGCUUUAGGGAGUAAACGCAUGCAUGAUUAUCUCUGAGUGUGUGUGUCGAAUAAUGCAUGUGUUUGUGUUUGUGUGUGUCGACUAAUGCAUGGGUUUGUGUGUGUGUGUGUGUGUGUGUGUGUGAGUGUGUGUGGAUUAAUGCUCUGCGUCUGUGUAAGUGACCCUGCCAUUG
Molecule: long non-coding RNA, 4582 nt
Organism: Clupea harengus (Atlantic herring)
Lineage: Eukaryota; Metazoa; Chordata; Actinopteri; Clupeiformes; Clupeidae
Source: Ensembl